This 1132-nucleotide ribosomal RNA is filed under the name uncultured bacterium. RNAcentral describes it as "bacterial SSU rRNA". It matches the Rfam family "Bacterial small subunit ribosomal RNA", at positions 353 to 1482 of the family's 1533-position model. The record is from RNAcentral.
AGUGGGGAAUUUUGCGCAAUGGGGGAAACCCUGACGCAGCGACGCCGCGUGGAGGAUGACGGCCUUCGGGUUGUAAACUCCUGUCAGAAGGGACGAAAUCCCGCAAGGGACUGACGGUACCUUCAGAGGAAGCCCCGGCUAACUACGUGCCAGCAGCCGCGGUAAUACGUAGGGGGCAAGCGUUGCUCGGAAUUACUGGGCGUAAAGGGUGAGUAGGCGGUCGAGCAAGUCAAGGAUGAAAUCCCGAGGCCCAACUUCGGAAUUGUUCUUGAAACUGCUCGGCUUGAGGGUAGUUGAGGAGAGUGGAAUUCCCGGUGGAGCGGUGAAAUGCGUAGAUAUCGGGAGGAACACCUGAGGCGAAGGCGGCUCUCUAAACUACUCCUGACGCUGAAUCACGAAAGCUAGGGGAGCAAACGGGAUUAGAUACCCCGGUAGUCCUAGCCGUAAACGAUGGACACUGGAUAUUCCGGCAUUUCUGCUGGAGUGUCGUAGCUAACGCGUUAAGUGUCCCGCCUGGGGAGUACGAUCGCAAGGUUGAAACUCAAAGGAAUUGACGGGGGCCCGCACAAGCGGUGGAGCAUGUGGUUUAAUUCGACGCUACGCGAAGAACCUUACCUGGGCUUGAACUGCUGGUGGUAGAAGCCCGAAAGGGUAACGACCCGGAGCAAUCCGGGAGCCAGUAGAGGUGCUGCAUGGCUGUCGUCAGCUCGUGUCGUGAGAUGUUGGGUUAAGUCCCGCAACGAGCGCAACCCUUACCCUUAGUUGCCAGCGGGUAAUGCCGGGCACUCUAAGGGGACCGCCCCGGAUAACGGGGAGGAAGGCGGGGAUGACGUCAAGUCAGCAUGGCCUUUAUGUCCAGGGCUACACACGUGCUACAAUGGGCGAUACAGAGGGAAGCAAGGCCGCAAGGUAGAGCUAAUCCCUAAAGUCGUCCUCAGUUCGGAUUGCAGGCUGCAACUCGCCUGCAUGAAGUCGGAAUCGCUAGUAAUCGCGGAUCAGCUACGCCGCGGUGAAUACGUUCUCGGGCCUUGUACACACCGCCCGUCACAUCACGAAAGCUGGUCUCGCCCGAAGUCGCUGAGCCAACCCGCAAGGGAGGCAGGCGCCGAAGGUGAGGUCGGUGAUGGGGGUG